CAAGGAUUNNACNGGUANCCGGCNUGAGAGGGUGGNCGGUCACACUGNGACUGAGAUACGGCCCAGACUCNUACGNGAGGCAGCAGUGGGGAAUAUUGCACAAUGGGNGCAAGCCUGAUGCAGCGACGCCGCGUGAGGGAUGAAGGCCUUCGGGUUGUAAACCUCUUUCGUCAGGGAACAAGGCACUACGUUUUGGUGGUGUUGAGGGUACCUGGAUAAGAAGCGCCGGCUAACUACGUGCCAGCAGCCGCGGUAAUACGUAGGGCGCAAGCGUUGUCCGGAAUUAUUGGGCGUAAAGAGCUCGUAGGCGGCUGGUCGCGUCUGUCGUGAAAACUUCCGGCUCAACCGGGGGCUUGCGGUGGGUACGGGCCGGCUAGAGUGCGGUAGGGGUAACUGGAACUCCUGGUGUAGCGGUGGAAUGCGCAGAUAUCAGGAAGAACACCGAUGGCGAAGGCAGGUUACUGGGCCGUUACUGACGCUGAGGAGCGAAAGCGUGGGGAGCGAACAGG
Molecule: ribosomal RNA, 509 nt
Filed under: uncultured Corynebacterium sp.
Lineage: Bacteria; Bacillati; Actinomycetota; Actinomycetes; Mycobacteriales; Corynebacteriaceae
Description: bacterial SSU rRNA
Rfam family: Bacterial small subunit ribosomal RNA
Source: RNAcentral